Molecule: long non-coding RNA, 305 nt
Organism: Myotis davidii
Lineage: Eukaryota; Metazoa; Chordata; Mammalia; Chiroptera; Vespertilionidae
Exons: 3
Source: RefSeq, a predicted model, not a curated record
UGUGUGCACAUGACAAUUAAAGAGGAUUCCAAUUGUUUACAGCUGUUAUCUAAGCUCUCCAUUCAAGCUGAGAUCAUGAAAAGCUGGUACCAUGGAUCUGUCUCUUGCCUAAUGGUGUAAGCUGGGCCCUCUGUGGAGAAGAAACCUGGAUUCCCCAUGAUCAAUGCCAGGGCCCUGCCGGCAGGUGAGGGGAUCCAAAGGCAGGUGCUGGGCAUGGAGGCCAGAGGGACAUAGGUUAACAAGGAGACAGAACUGAACCUCACAUCACCCUACUUGGCCCAGAGGAUGGCUGGUAGUCAAUGACG